UACUGGCCUCCCUAUUACGGCGGGUUGGUGCCUCACUAUGAUUACCCUGUGGUUUUUGCUGAUCGAUCCGCUGACCCCUGCUCCAUCAUGUGAGAAGAGAAACAGAGACAUGACACAGAGGAUUUGAGAAAUUAAAAUUUGAACUGCACUUGGGGUAGUUAUAGUGUGACCUUGGGGUUGGAGAUGAUAGAUGAACAAAAAGAAAGAAAGGGAAUUGAAAUUCUGAUGAAGCAAGUUGAUUAAUUGGUUGCGUUUCCA
This 258-nucleotide long non-coding RNA is filed under the name Citrus maxima (pomelo). RNAcentral describes it as "long non-coding RNA (CMAX_LNC000902)". Lineage: Eukaryota; Viridiplantae; Streptophyta; Magnoliopsida; Sapindales; Rutaceae. The record is from RNAcentral.